UGGGGAAUUUUGGACAAUGGGCGAAAGCCUGAUCCAGCAAUGCCGCGUGUGUGAAGAAGGCCUUCGGGUUGUAAAGCACUUUUGUCCGGAAAGAAAUCCUUGGCUCUAAUACAGUCGGGGGAUGACGGUACCGGAAGAAUAAGCACCGGCUAACUACGUGCCAGCAGCCGCGGUAAUACGUAGGGUGCAAGCGUUAAUCGGAAUUACUGGGCGUAAAGCGUGCGCAGGCGGUUUGCUAAGACCGAUGUGAAAUCCCCGGGCUCAACCUGGGAACUGCAUUGGUGACUGGCAGGCUAGAGUAUGGCAGAGGGGGGUAGAAUUCCACGUGUAGCAGUGAAAUGCGUAGAGAUGUGGAGGAAUACCGAUGGCGAAGGCAGCCCCCUGGGCCAAUACUGACGCUCAUGCACGAAAGCGUGGGGAGCAAACAGGAUUAGAUACCCUGGUAGUCCACGCCCUAAACGAUGUCAACUAGUUGUGGGGAUUCAUUCCUUAGUAACGUAGCUAACGCGUGAAGUUGACCGCCUGGGGAGUACGGUCGCAAGAUUAAAACUCAAAUGAAUUGACGGGGU
This 569-nucleotide ribosomal RNA is filed under the name uncultured bacterium. RNAcentral's name for it is "partial 16S ribosomal RNA". It matches the Rfam family "Bacterial small subunit ribosomal RNA", at positions 355 to 919 of the family's 1533-position model. The record is from RNAcentral.